GGUUAGCUGAGCUGGUAGAGCGUUACACUGGAAAUGAAGAGCUCCCGGGUUCGAUACCCGGGCCA
Non-coding RNA from Ixodes scapularis (black-legged tick), 65 nucleotides. The record is from Rfam. Lineage: Eukaryota; Metazoa; Arthropoda; Arachnida; Ixodida; Ixodidae.